GCGUGCGGGCGAUACGGGCAGACUUGAGUACUGCAGGGGAGACUGGAAUUCCUGGUGUAGCGGUGGAAUGCGCAGAUAUCAGGAGGAACACCGGUGGCGAAGGCGGGUCUCUGGGCAGUAACUGACGCUGAGGAGCGAAAGCGUGGGGAGCGAACAGGAUUAGAUACCCUGGUAGUCCACGCCGUAAACGGUGGGUACUAGGUGUGGGUUUCCUUCCUUGGGAUCCGUGCCGUAGCUAACGCAUUAAGUACCCCGCCUGGGGAGUACGGCCGCAAGGCUAAAACUCAAAUAAAUUGACGGGGGCCCGCACAAGCGGCGCGAGCAUGUGGAUUAAAUUCGAUGCAACGCGAAGAACCUUAGCUGGGUUUGACAUGCACAGGACGCCGGCAGAGAUGUCGGUUCCCUUGUGGCCUGUGUGCAGGUGGUGCAUGGCUGUCGUCAGCUCGUGUCGUGAGAUGUUGGGUUAAGUCCCGCAACGAGCGCAACCCUUGUCUCAUGUUGCCAGCGGGUAAUGCCGGGGACUCGUGAGAGACUGCUCGGGGUCAAUCUCGGAGGAAGGUGGGGAUGACGUCAAGUCAUCAUGCCCCUUAUGUCCAGGGCUUCACACAUGCUACAAUGGCCGGUACAAAGGGUCUGCGAUGCCGACGAGGUUAAGCGAAUCCUUUUAAAGCCGGUCUCAGUUCG
Molecule: ribosomal RNA, 684 nt
Filed under: uncultured Mycobacterium sp.
Lineage: Bacteria; Bacillati; Actinomycetota; Actinomycetes; Mycobacteriales; Mycobacteriaceae
Description: bacterial SSU rRNA
Rfam family: Bacterial small subunit ribosomal RNA
Source: RNAcentral